This is a long non-coding RNA of Erpetoichthys calabaricus (reedfish), 998 nucleotides long. RefSeq lists it as uncharacterized. The transcript is spliced from 4 exons. The record is from RefSeq and is a predicted model, not a curated record. NCBI's taxonomy places the organism in Eukaryota, Metazoa, Chordata, Cladistia, Polypteriformes, Polypteridae.
AGCUAGAUAACCGAAAGUAACAAGAAUCCCAUUACACUCCUGGUGGAUAAUUGAGAGUCAAAUAUUUUAACUACAUUCAUUUUUGAAGAAAAUUGCAAAUGAUGAAAAAUGUCAUGGAAGCAGACAACAACACCAUUAAAGAUCUUGUGAUAAAAAGAUGCAAACUCAGAUUGCCAGGCCAAACCAAAAAAAAAACAUAUAUGAUUAAGCGAAGCAGAGAGAAUGAAAGGAGCAGCUCGGCUUCUAAUUCUACACCACCACCCCCUAACACACAAACACCACAUCCCCCCCCCGCCCCCCGCUUAUGUGACGAAGCCUCGGAAAAAGAUGCUGCUGAGACCACCAUCUUAGAAAGCUGGCAUAAAAUGGAUGUGCUUUAUGCAGUGAUUACAGAGCUUUAUAACAGACGUCACUGCAGCGGCACAGGAUAAGAAUUCACUUUUUCCGUCUGUGAUUUUCACCAUCUGCCUCCAGAAGUGCCUGCAGGACUUGUCAAUGUGGGGAGACAAUGCUUGAACAGUAUCUACAAGAAACCUGGAGAGAAGAGCAGCCAGUCACCUGCAUUAAGCUUAUCCCAAUGACAGAAAUGACCAGCAGACUUACUGAUGAACUCACUUGGUAAACAUCUCCCUGUUUGUCAGCUUUCAAUGCAUUUGCAAAUGUCUGAUGCAAGACAUCGAAAACCGAACUGAUCCAAGAGGAGGAGACCCCUGCUAUUUCUAUCGGACAUGAAUGUUUCAAAAAUUGUAAUUGCACCCUCUUUCCUGUCUUGAUGCUUCAUAAAUCGAAGGAGUGAAACCUGCAGUAUGGACAAGUUGUAAAGCAUUACAUUUAUUCCUUAAAUGUCAUCCUUGUUGAUCAAUUGAUUCUAUUGACUGUCCUCAAAUAAAUAUCUUUAAUACAUAUAUAAACACAACAUGCACUAUGGACAACAACACUGAAUACUUAACAUGGGUGGAAGUAAGUGAACUUCACUUAGCCCAACUACUUAAAAUAGU